AUGGGUGAUUUUAAUGAUAUCCUUGACCCCUUGGAGAAGAAUAGUAAUGUUGUUUUAAACCGCCGUCGUAUGGCUAGUUUUUCUAAUCAUAUUAAACGAUGUGGUUUAAUAGAUAUGGGUUUUAAUGGUCCUGCCUUUACGUGGUGCAAUAAACGUUUUACUUCCAUUCCUACUUAUGAAAGACUUGAUCGAUGUUUUGCAAACGUUGAAUGGUGUAAAGUAUUUCCUAAUACUGCUGUGUACAACUUGCCAAUUAUGUAUAGUGAUCAUGCACCAAUUCUUACUAUCUCCAAACCUGUUACUGUUAAAACAAAAAGACCUUUCAAAUUUGAGAAU
This 336-nucleotide ribosomal RNA is filed under the name Triticum aestivum (bread wheat). RNAcentral describes it as "partial small subunit ribosomal RNA". Lineage: Eukaryota; Viridiplantae; Streptophyta; Magnoliopsida; Poales; Poaceae. The record is from RNAcentral.